AGCCUUUUUUCGUAACAGACAUGCUCCAGUCCCUCAGUCAUCAUUGUUGCCCUCUGCUGGAUCCACUCCAGGAGCUCCAUGUCUGUCUUGUACUGAGGAGCCCAGAAAUACAUCUUCUGAGGUGGAG
Molecule: long non-coding RNA, 127 nt
Organism: Neopelma chrysocephalum (saffron-crested tyrant-manakin)
Lineage: Eukaryota; Metazoa; Chordata; Aves; Passeriformes; Pipridae
Exons: 3
Source: RefSeq, a predicted model, not a curated record